Molecule: RNA transcript, 2758 nt
Organism: Folsomia candida
Lineage: Eukaryota; Metazoa; Arthropoda; Collembola; Entomobryomorpha; Isotomidae
Exons: 6
Source: RefSeq, a predicted model, not a curated record
GACAAGUACAACAUACGCAGAUUGAUCAGUAAACAGGUGACGAUCUAAAUAAAUUUGCUAAUUUGAAAUUUAUGCUGGAACUAAAAAAUAUAGGAAAGUUUUAAUUGCAUUCCUAUUUUCCAUAUCUCUUGUUGGAUUUGAGUUAUUUUGAUGGAUCGAAUAUAAAAAAAAUAAAUGUCGGGUUUCGUAAUUUUUAUCAUUGUUUAACAAAAUACUUAAUUGUUAAACAAGUAAUGAUUUAACUGCUAGGCCAUAAUUUGACUGUAACUUAUACAUAUUCACAUAUUGCUAAUCCAUUAAUAUUUCGAGUGGGACAAUUAUCAAAAUAAUGGCAGCCAACUUAAUCAAACCUUCGGACGGUGUUUUACAAGCCAAAUUCAACACGGGCUCAGAUGAUUGGUCGGCUAUUUUGCCUUGCGUUGAUCGUCAAAAGUACACCAUUGGCGAUAAGUACACCUCGUGGGACACACAGGGCAAUUUUAUCUUUUUCAGACCUGAGGGCCCCGAGUGGAACUGGAAGUUCGGUCUGGAAAUCUUAUGUGACGAUGGCUUUUACUCGGUCAAACCUGCCACGGGGGGCGGAAUUUUUUAAACGGCGCAAAGCUGAAUCGCGAAGUCGGGCUAAAUUUUGGCGAUAUAUUCACCGUCACGAAGCUCCGCAACGAUAUUUCUGGUGGACUUGCAAACUUCACGUUUGAGAAACGGAGCUACAUUGAAAAUUGGGAUGACUGCAAGAACAUUUCUGACUCGGAAAACACGACUGGAUCAAAUUUUAUACUAGAUCGAAAUCAAUUGGUUUUCUCGAUCAUUCUGUCCCGUCUCUCCUUGCACCUUGGGAAGCUUGAAGAACGCCCGACUAGUUUGUCGCCACUGGAAUGAAGAAGUGACUCCCAUUCUGCGAAAGAAAUACGCCAUAAAGUUCAGUUAUUCCUCCGACGUUUACAACCCUUCGCUGAAAUUUUUUCGAUAUAUUCAUGAAAUGCGAGAUGCUGAAAACUGGCCACACUUGAAGAUAAGCUUUCCAUUCCUAAGAUUCCUAGAGGAUGGCCAGGAAAAUUGGAAGGCUAAGUAUGCCGCUGACCUGAAGUGGUUUCUUAAGCAGAAAAGGGGACAUUACGUCAAGACUUUGGCGCUGAACGGGUACAUCCACUCUGACCAGGAUUACCUGAUGUAUCUCGACACCGUUUCCGAAUUUAAAGACACCUUGGAAGAAUUGUAUCUCAGCUAGGCUUGACCAUAAAAACUGUCGACCAUAAUGGCCCCGAGCAGCAAUAUUCACAGCGGGACCUAUUUUUCCCCGUACUAAAGAAGUUUUCUCUACGAAUUUUUAAUCAUAUGAACGAACCAAUUGUCCCAGUGACUACAAGCUGGAUGAAAACUUGGGCCGACGCAAUUACACGGGUGAAAUCGAUCUCCACGCUGGGCCAUGGAUUCCUGGGGUCAAGAAUUGCCGUGGCGAUGCAAACAACGGGAACUUUGGGGUAUGGAAACUUGCGUCAAAUCAUGCUAACUUGCAAGCCAACGGAUGGCAUCAAUUUUCUCAUGGGGAUGAACCCACAACUGAAGAGUUUGACGUUGACGUUACCUCUGGAACCCCAGCAUCUUCCCGAGUUUGAGAAUCUGCUUAAGAAAUUCGCCCCGUCCUUGAAUUUACUUCGCUUUCGUGUUGACACGAAUGGACUUGAAGAGAAGUCGCGUUUCGUCCUGAAUCUGCCAUGUUUUCCUAAACUGAUAAAUAAAUUUAAAAAAAUAAAACUAAGGCGAGAGGCGCUAUUACAAACACGAAACAAGCCCUCCCACCAACACCCCCGUCUCGCCGUGGCCCCAUUUAUAUUUUUAUAUCUGGGGGGUGUAACCACAAUUUUAUUUUUUGUAAUUCUUUCCUGCAUCAUACAAAACGAUUUAUAAAACCACCUAUAAUAGGGUAUAUAUGCCACCAUGGGUGCAUGCAUUUUCGUGAUGGUGUCAUAAAAUUGUCACACAAAUGUCGGAAAUCAAACUUCAAAAUCUGCUAGCUCAAUUCUGAAAUUUCUGAAUGCAGAAUGUAUUUAAUCACAUAAUUGCCUACGUUAAAAGUUGAUUUUAAGAAGUAAAUAUUUCAUUUUUCUACGACGGUUGAUGAACCAGGUAUAUUCCAAACUUUUCAGCUACAAUACGGAUAGAUUUGAAACUUUAGGAUCUUGGUUAAGGCAUAGGUUUUCUUUAAUCAAACAUCUUUAAUUAAAAAAUAUUUUUAUACAUAUUUUAUCAAACAUUUUACAUAAGUGUUUCGGGGUUUUUAAGAAUAUAUUUAUCAGGACUCUAAUGCUAGACAUGUUUAAAUUGAAAUUAAUGUAACUGUAAUGUAAAUGUAAUGUAUUAAGAACUGCAGAUAAUAGGCUUUAAAAGUGCAAUGCAAUAUAAAAUUGUAAUAUUUAUCAACUUAAAUACAGUUUACAUUUGUAGUUAAAAGUUUGAAUCAUAAAUUGUGGUUACACCCCCCAGAUAUAAAAAUAUUAAUGGGGCCACGGCGAGACGGGGGUGUUGGUGGGAGGGCUUGUUUCGUGUUUGUAAUACCGCCUCUCGCCUUAGUUUUAUUUUUUUUAAUUUAUUUAGUUUGGAGUUUUUAAGUGAACAAUUUUUUUAACUCCCAUUAAAAACCCACAGUGCAUAGCCCGAGUAAGGAAAAGAUUGGGAUUAUCACCCAAUCCGACUUUUGUACAAAAUUUUAUCAUAAAUGCAUAUCAACAUUUUUAUAAUAAAAACCUACUUCAAGCAA